AUGACAGUUAAGAAGACCUCUGUCUCUUUAGGAAGAGCCAGCGAAGGGAGUCAUAUUUCUUUUGGCAUCCCCAUGCUACCAAAUUACAUCUGCUCUUCAAACAUUCUCCAGAGGGAGGACUGCAGGACCCCACUCCCCUUCCACCCGAGAAGCAGAAGCCUGCAGCACGCUCAGCUUUUCCCCCUCACACCGCUUCACCGCCCCCCUCCCCAAUCCCUGCGUUUUGACCCAACCUGCGCCUUCCAGCCCCGGUCCCCACCUGAAGCCCGGCGGGCAGCGCCCAGCGGCAUCACCUGCCGGGGUUGUGGGGUUGGGGUCGUGGGGUUGGGGCCGGCCCGCCCCGGGGCCGCGUUUGCUGAUGUAAUCUCCCGGCAGCGGGCGGUGAAACCCAACACCGCGGCGGGUGCCGGGGCGGGCGGCAGCAGCGCCGGACUCCGGCAGCCGCGGGGCUCCCCCGCGCCCCCUGCACNNNNNNNNNNNNNNNNNNNNNNNNNGAGCUCGGCGGAGAGCUCGGGGCCGCCGGGGUUUGAUGGGCAGGACCUGAGCCUCCGGCGGCGCGGCGCUCGGCUCCGGCUUUCCCUCGGACCUCCGCUGCCCGGACAAAUGCAUACAAAUGCAUUUGGGAGCCCAGAGGACAAGGCGAGGACGCAUCUCUCCCGCGGCACCAACGAAGCCCCUCCUCCUUUGUAUUGCAAUAUGUAUAGCUGCGGGUGUUGCACAAGCACCAAAACAAGGUGAGAACACUUUCUUAUACCAAGAUGCUUAGAUUGUUACUAGAUCAAGAGAGUAAAUGUCUACUAGUGACCUUAGGUUCAGUUCCUUAUGGUGACUUAAAUAUCAGCAGCAGUGCGAUGAGAGCUAAAGUUUAAAGUAAUCAGUUUGGAAAAGAUGACCUUUUGAAAAUUACUCAGACUUUCUGUCCAUGAAAUUGCUUACAUAUUUAAGCAGACUCUUCAUAAAAGAGAAGUCUUGUACAGAGAAAAGGCUUUGAUUGUGUCUUCACUGCAAGUGGGUGUCCUUGGGGGUGGCAAGCUAUGACUGAGUUACCUUUGCACUUCUGAGGGCAAACAAGCAAACCACUGCAUAUAAUAAAGGCUUAGUCUAGGCUGGCA
This 1112-nucleotide long non-coding RNA is filed under the name Anser cygnoides (Swan goose). RNAcentral describes it as "lncRNA (ENSACDG00005018282.1)". The record is from RNAcentral. Lineage: Eukaryota; Metazoa; Chordata; Aves; Anseriformes; Anatidae.